Molecule: ribosomal RNA, 397 nt
Filed under: uncultured bacterium
Lineage: Bacteria
Description: bacterial SSU rRNA
Rfam family: Bacterial small subunit ribosomal RNA
Source: RNAcentral
CUCAUGGUGAAAUGUUGAAAGGCGCUUUCGCGUCACUACAGGAUGGGCCCGCGGUGCAUUAGCUAGUUGGUGGGGUAACGGCCUACCAAGGCGACGAUGCAUAGCCGACCUGAGAGGGUGAUCGGCCACAUUGGGACUGGGACACGGCCCAAACUCCUACGGGAGGCAGCAGUAGGGAAUCUUCCACAAUGGACGAAAGUCUGAUGGAGCAACGCCGCGUGAGUGAUGAAGGUUUUCGGAUCGUAAAACUCUGUUGUAAGGGAAGAACAAGUACGUUAGGAAAUGAACGUACCUUGACGGUACCUUAUUAGAAAGCCACGGCUAACUACGUGCCAGCAGCCGCGGUAAUACGUAGGUGGCAAGCGUUGUCCGGAUUUAUUGGGCGUAAAGCGCGCGC